Molecule: long non-coding RNA, 1661 nt
Organism: Antechinus flavipes (yellow-footed antechinus)
Lineage: Eukaryota; Metazoa; Chordata; Mammalia; Dasyuromorphia; Dasyuridae
Exons: 2
Source: RefSeq, a predicted model, not a curated record
UAGUUCGGCUUCUUUGCGUGAGAAGGAAGUAAGGAAGCCGUUUUGCUGUGUUCUCCUUUCCUUGCGCUCGUUCUUAUGUUUGCUGCCUUACUUCUCUUCGCAUCCGGAAUGCGUCAGGUUCCGGAAAGGUUGUAGAAGCCAAAAGAAGACAUUUCUCGCUAAUGGAAGGCCCAACUCAGAUUCUGCCACUAUGAAGAAAUGGAGUCACUUUACCUGACUGAAGAAGGAAUACAAGUAUAAAAGUAUUGCCAUCCCUAGUAAUAUAUAAAACAACCAAUAUCCCUCCCCCUUCAAAUUUUUAGCAUUUUUUACUCAUCUUGUUCUCACUCAUAUCCUAGUUAUUUGGGGUUUAUUGUCCUUUCCUUUCAUCUCAGAGGCUCUUGCUACAUGGUAGCAAGACAUCAAAUAUAACUGCCUUGAAAAACUGAACAUGGAUAAUCGACAGAAUUGGAGAGGAUCAAGGCAGGUGUGAACAAGAUAAUAUGUAAGCAAUGAAGAACUCUAAAGAACUGGAGUAAAAGUUAUCAUCAAGGAAUUGGAUAGGAAGAGUAGAUAAGCUGGUUAUGUAAAUGAGCAAAGUGUCACACUGAUACCUUUGCAGUGUCAGGCAAAGGAAAGGAAAGACUCCUGCACAUUGGGGAACCUAGUGGAAGACAUGAGUUGCACAUGAUGAACAGGCAUGGGGGCUAAAGUUUUCAUUGUUGGAAGGAGCUCCCAAACUAAGGAAAUCACAGAUCCAUCUGUGUAGACUUUUGUGUAUAUGUGAGCACAUAUACAUAUAUACACACACAUAUGCAUAUCCAUAUAUACUGAGAAAAUAUAGACACACUAUUUGUAUCCCCUUCUGCAGUCUUUCUUCCAUGCAUUUCAAAACGUUUGUUGCUUUGUGUCUGUCUCUCCCCAACAGAAUCCCUUUAUCACAAAAACAAAAAAAAAGUCAAAACACUAGCUAUAUCUAAGAAGGCCUAUAUUCAUGUGUCUCUUUUUCAUCUUUUUUGUCAAGUAAGAGGAAUGUUUCAUCAAUAGUUUUUUAAAAUCAUUAUUUUUCAUUAAUUUGAUCAGAAUUCUGAUAUCUUUUGUUCCCAUAAGUUUUCUUACAUAAGGUAAAGGGAUGCAUUCUAAGUUGUCACAAAAUUAAAAAUGUGGUUUAAAAAUAGUAAUGAGAAAAAUAUAACAAUUGUGCUAGCAAACAAAAUAAGCCAUUAAAAAUUAGUCACAAAAGGAGAGUUUAAGGGUAGAAUACCUGAUAUGACACUUCCACAGCAAAAUAAUACAGAGUAAAUCCAUUCUAUAAUCUUAAACAUGAUUAAAAAUCCUAUUGCUUGCCAGAACUUUAGCAGAAAACAAUACCGAAAUGCCACUCAAAACAGUUUUUCAAUUAUGUUUAUUUAGAAAUAGGAAAGUUAAGACAAAAGCAAAAUAGAAGCAUGUUAUAUUAACAGGAAAUAAAUAUAUUGCCAUACCCACUAGGUCUUCUGGUGGUCCAAAGAGAUUGUAGCAAGUGUCUAAACUUUAUAGUGGUUCUUUCACUAUUUUGAAUAUUUUUUUAUUUUGUAUCUAUGUCUACUUGAGAAAGUGUUCUUGUGUGGAAAUUCUAAAAUGACCUGUUAGUAUUUGGGAUUGUCAAACUAAAAUAAAAGGUAGAGGAUUGAAAUGAAUGA